AACGAACGCUGGCGGCAGGCUUAACACAUGCAAGUCGAACGAUGUAGCAAUACAUAGUGGCGCACGGGUGAGUAACGCGUGGGAAUAUACCGAGUAGUGGGGAAUAACUUUGGGAAACUAAAGCUAAUACCGCAUACGCCCGAGAGGGGAAAGAUUUAUCGCUAUUCGAUUAGCCCGCGUGAGAUUAGGUAGUUGGUGGGGUAAUGGCCUACCGAGCCGACGAUCUCUAGCUGGUCUGAGAGGAUGAUCAGCCACACUGGAACUGAGACACGGUCCAGACUCCUACGGGAGGCAGCAGUGGGGAAUUUUGGACAAUGGGCGCAAGCCUGAUCCAGCCAUGCCGCGUGAGUGAAGAAGGUCUUCGGAUUGUAAAGCUCUUUUGCCAGGGACGAUAAUGACGGUACCUGACUAAGAAGCCCCGGCUAACUACGUGCCAGCCGCCGCGGUAA
RNAcentral lists this ribosomal RNA (449 nucleotides) under uncultured bacterium. RNAcentral's name for it is "partial 16S ribosomal RNA". It matches the Rfam family "Bacterial small subunit ribosomal RNA", at positions 29 to 523 of the family's 1533-position model. The record is from RNAcentral.